RNAcentral lists this ribosomal RNA (494 nucleotides) under uncultured bacterium. RNAcentral describes it as "partial 16S ribosomal RNA". It matches the Rfam family "Bacterial small subunit ribosomal RNA", at positions 28 to 507 of the family's 1533-position model. The record is from RNAcentral.
GACGAACGCUGGCGGCGUGCUUAACAUAUGCAAGUCGAACGGUGAAGCGCCUUCCUUUUUGGUGGGUGUGGAUGAGUGGCGAACGGGUGAGUAACACGUGAGUAACCUGCCCCCUUCUUCUGGAUAACCGCAUGAAAGUGUGGCUAAUACGGGAUAUUCUGGGUCUGUCGCAUGAUGGGUCUGGGAAAGAUAUUGUUUCGGUGGGGGAUGGGCUCGCGGCCUAUCAGCUUGUUGGUGGGGUGAUGGCCUACCAAGGCGGUGACGGGUAGCCGGCCUGAGAGGGUGGACGGUCACACUGGGACUGAGACACGGCCCAGACUCCUACGGGAGGCAGCAGUGGGGAAUAUUGCACAAUGGGCGCAAGCCUGAUGCAGCGACGCCGCGUGAGGGAUGGAGGCCUUCGGGUUGUGAACCUCUUUCGCCAGUGAAGCAGGCCUGCCUCGUUUGUGGGUGGGUUGACGGUAGCUGGAUAAGAAGCGCCGGCUAACUACGUG